This 2088-nucleotide ribosomal RNA is filed under the name Triticum aestivum (bread wheat). Its description in RNAcentral is "partial small subunit ribosomal RNA". The record is from RNAcentral. Lineage: Eukaryota; Viridiplantae; Streptophyta; Magnoliopsida; Poales; Poaceae.
CUAUUUGGUGUUUCUUGACCGAACUUGCAAGCAGUCAACAACCCGGGGAACAAGACGGGAGGUAGCGUGGGCUUGGGUUUGAGGGUGGGGGUUGGGUUUUAGUCUAUUCGUUUCGUCGCGGUGGAGCGCUCGCGGUACGACAGGGGCCGCUGGUGGCGGUGCCGGCGGCGGAAGGAGAGGCGCCGCGGACGGAGGAGUAGGAGAUGGGUGGCGUCCGCAUCGGCAGCGCGACGAUAGAGGCGGAGGGAGAGCAGGCUUCUUGGCGACGAGUAUGCACGCCGCUCCCCGCUCCUACCCGACGGAUCCGGCGGCCGCACCUACUACGCCGUCCGACCCGCCAUGUACCGCAGCAUGGUCCGCGACAGGUUCGCGGUGGGAAGCAAGGCCCUCGCCAGCCUCUGGUGGCUGGAGUAGCAGCUUUAGUGCGAUGUCGGCACCGUGCGGAAGCGUGGGCUGCCGCAGUAGGAUAAGAGCCUGUAUGAGUGCGGCGACGGCCGGUAGCCCCACGGUAAGCUAUAGAGCCUUAGGUUCCCCGGCCACUAGGUCAGCGGGCACGCCUGACUCCUUGUCCAGUCCCUCGAGCAAGGGUAUCUAGAGCUAUUCGAGGUCAAGCAACCCCUCAGCGAGUUCUAAGACGCGUUGCUCUAACUACCUUUUCGACGAAACGAUCCUAAGCACCCCCGGGGUACCUGUUAACGUUGAAUGCAACAACUUCCUCCCUACUGGUUGUGAAUGUGUUUAUAUUUCGCGUACACGGUGUGUCGUGGUUUACAGAACUCCCCGGAAGAGAGAGUGGAGCGUCUUCGAUAUAGACUGAUAUAGUAAAUGGUUCAUUUGAGACCACGAGUCACAUAUGUCUAUAAACUAAGUACCCCACCCGUUGAAGGUGGAGUACACACCCUCGUUACCAGUUUUGGUAUAUAGUCUGUUUAACACCGAUUCUAAUUCUGUCUUACGGGAGUGUAUGGUGAACACGACAUAUAUUUACCUUUACCUCCGAACGAGCUCGCGUACUUCCUGUAUCCUCAACUACAAUAACCUGAACUGACCUGUCACCUAUACCGUCUACCUUCCUCCGCGCAACCACUACCUUAAUCACAUGUUCCCUUACACCUGGGUCGUAUAGAUAAAAGGGGUAAUGGUCAUAACUGACUACUUUAAGUAUCCCAACACUUUCGUCGACCAGGCUUUCCAGUAUAUGAAUUGAACCCGGUACCACAAGAAGUUUUUUGUGGUCUUCUUCGACAUCGUGUAAAGAAACUACAGUGUUCCUCGAACUCUAUACUGUGGGAAAAGGUCCCAGUAGAAUGACUUCUUAACGUUGGACAACGAACUACUACCGGUCAUCGGAACGGUAUAAAAAAAACCAGAAUGACAAGAGUCGAGUUGUGGAAGAUGUAAUAAUCUCAAGUAAGGGAAAACGACCUCGACAAGGAACAUCUCUGUGGUACCGAUUUAGUUGAGUUAAAACAAGUAAUACGUAGACACAUAAAGUCAGUAAGUAGAUGAGUCGUCUCUUUUCCGCACGGAGGACGAAAAUCUUCCCUCGACGUCAAAUAAGUUCACCCAACAAGUUGGGAAAGACAAAAUCAAGGAACGUAACCAAUAGUAAGGUCAAAUCUUGCUUGUACAACGUCCAUAACGUCAGAAUAUGAAACAGAAGAAAACGCAUACAAUUACUCGUUGACUCGUAGUACAAAAUCCACGGUACUAGACCAGACCAUGGUUAUAAAAUCCACGGUCAACCCACGGUACUGGAUGGUCCGACGUCACGAAAUUUAACUUAGUUACGGCGGGUAGAGCCUUUAAUAAACAACGUCACCCUCCAAUCGGGUACACGAGGACUGGACGACAGAUGAUGAUCCAAAAUUGUAUAAGACAUAACGAGCAACACCAGUUUGAGAGACCCACUUUUACCUACCACAUCGGUGUUUACAAAUGGUGGGAAGUCUUUCUUUUUUGAAACCGUGAACGGAAUAAUUAUUUGCGCCGUAGCUUAACUCCAGGAGACAAAAGAAUUGAGGUGAACGAGUAGACAAUAAACUUGCUGUAACAAAGGAUACGUAAGCUAGUAUAUAUAGGGAAAUU